ACGAACGCUGGCCGCGUGCUUAACCCAUGCAAGUCGAACGGAAAGGCCCUGCUUUUGUGGGGUGCUCGAGUGGCGAAUGGGUGAGUAACACGUGAGUAACCUGCCCUUGACUUUGGGAUAACUUCAGGAAACUGGGGCUAAUACCGGUUCGGAGCUCCUGCUGCAUGGUGGGGGGUGGAAAGUUUCGGCGGUUGGGGAUUGACUCGCGGCUUAUCAGCUUGUUGGUGGGGUAGUGGCUUACCAAGGCUUUGACGGGUAGCCGGCCUGAGAGGGUGACCGGCCACAUUGGGACUGAGAUACGGCCCAGACUCCUACGGGAGGCAGCAGUGGGGAAUAUUGAACAAUGGGCGGAAGCCUGAUGCAGCAACGCCGCGUGCGGGAUGACGGCCUUCGGGUUGUAAACCGCUUUCGCCUGUGACGAAGCGUGAGUGACGGUAAUGGGUAAAGAAGCACCGGCUAACUACGUG
This 467-nucleotide ribosomal RNA is filed under the name uncultured bacterium. RNAcentral's name for it is "partial 16S ribosomal RNA". It matches the Rfam family "Bacterial small subunit ribosomal RNA", at positions 29 to 507 of the family's 1533-position model. The record is from RNAcentral.